UGGAGCAAGAACUCAAGAAAAGAAAAAUUCACAAGCCAAGUCGCUACGUUGAUCAAGAGAUGUGCAAUGCUCCAAAGCCACCACAUAAUUUCCCAGGGCCCUCAAGAAGCCAAGAUAGUCAGGAGAAUGACCUUCGAGAAGAUAAUGAAGACUGGAUGUGCACAAAGGAGGCUGCUCAUGUGUCUGAUAAUACACAGGCACGAG
This is a long non-coding RNA of Dermacentor silvarum, 204 nucleotides long. RefSeq lists it as uncharacterized. The record is from RefSeq and is a predicted model, not a curated record. The transcript is spliced from 3 exons. NCBI's taxonomy places the organism in Eukaryota, Metazoa, Arthropoda, Arachnida, Ixodida, Ixodidae.